CCUACGGGAGGCAGCAGUGAGGAAUAUUGGUCAAUGGACGAGAGUCUGAACCAGCCAAGUAGCGUGAAGGAUGACUGCCCUAUGGGUUGUAAACUUCUUUUAUAUGGGAAUAAAAUGUUCCACGUGUGGGAUUUUGUAUGUACCAUAUGAAUAAGGAUCGGCUAACUCCGUGCCAGCAGCCGCGGUAAUACGGAGGAUCCGAGCGUUAUCCGGAUUGAUUGGGUUUAAAGGGAGCGUAGGUGGAUUGUUAAGUCAGUUGUGAAAGUUUGCGGCUCAACCGUAAAAUUGCAGUUGAAACUGGCAGUCUAGAGUACAGGAGAGGUGGGCGGAAUUCGUGGUGUAGCGGUGAAAUGCUUAGAUAUCGCGAAGAACUCUGAUUGCGAAGGCAGUUCACUGGACAGCAACUGACACUGAGGCUCGAAGGUGUGGGUAGCAAACAGGAUUAGAUACCAGAGUAGUC
Molecule: ribosomal RNA, 460 nt
Filed under: uncultured bacterium
Lineage: Bacteria
Description: partial 16S ribosomal RNA
Rfam family: Bacterial small subunit ribosomal RNA
Source: RNAcentral